This 1380-nucleotide long non-coding RNA is filed under the name Malus domestica (apple). Its description in RNAcentral is "long non-coding RNA (MDOM_LNC020892)". Lineage: Eukaryota; Viridiplantae; Streptophyta; Magnoliopsida; Rosales; Rosaceae. The record is from RNAcentral.
CACAUGCUUAAAAAUGUAAUAAUACCGUAAGCCUCAAAUUCCAUCCCAAACUAAUGUCAGCAUAAAACCCAAAAACCAGUUAAUGUAUUCACAGUAAUUGACAUUCGAAAAAUCUAUGGAUGCUCACAAUAUUUAUGUUUGCUUUAUUACAAGAAAAUUAAGCAACGCAAAACUGUUAUUGAUCUGUAAUUAAUCAAAUGCCCAAAUUGUAUGGUGAAUCAAACAUGGAGAUAUCAUGAGAGUUUUUUUAAAACAAUUAAUGCACAAAUGAUAUCUCCAUAUGCAGUGGCGAAGCCAGGAAUUUUCUGGAGGAGGGGCGAAAUAUUCAAAAGAGGAUUUGGACUAUUCAAAAUAGUCGAAGGAGGGUUUGAACAACAAUAUUAUUUGAAGGAUGAUUUAGCACCGUUUCUCGUUGUAUCGUCCUAUUACUUAAUUGUAUAAUUAGCAAAGUUUUAAAAGAUGCUAAGCUCUAAUCAAGCGAUGGACAUGACUUUACACUUAGGCGAGGGCGUAGGCAAAUUUGAAUAAAUUUUAUUAUAUACCGUAUAAAUAAUUGUCUAUUUAUUAUAUAGCUUAUAAUAUCCAAAAAAUAUUUAUUAUAAAACAUAUAAUAUAUAAAAAUAUUGACAAAUUUUCUUUAUUACUUUGUUGAAUUUGAUGGGAAGAGAAAGAAAUAAAAUAAUGAGGAGUUCGUAAUAUUUUACAAAUUAUUUUUUGAAGCUUGUAUAAAUUUAUAAUGAAUUUUAAGAUAAAUAAUAGUGUCAAACAAAUGGCUUAAAAAUAUUAAAAGAGUGGUCAAAUAAAAAUCUGACAAUAAUUAAAAAAUAAAACAAAGCAGGUUAGGUGGUGCCAAUUGAUUGGCCAAUAUUUAAAAAAAAAACAAAUUGUAAUUAAGAAAGGUCACGUGGGAUGGGAGAGAGAGAAAGUCUCUCUCUUCUUCCUUUCUCUUCUUCUUCGUUAGAACCAGAGUUCCAUAACUUAUUUUCCUUUCUCCAGAAAUUGCAAAAUGCAGAUCUUCGUUCCUCCUUUCUUUGGCCUAUGUUUUUUUUUUGUGGAAAAUAAGAGAGCACGCGAUCAGCCUGUGCUGGGAUAGAGCAGGGACAUCCAAAAGACCGAAAACCAUACGGAAUUUCAUCACAUUCGACGAGACCAGAGGGGCGGAACCACCACUCCUGGGCUUGAUUUCCGGCGAGGGGAGGGGCGGCCGCCACUCCUCGCCCUCACGUAGCUUCGCCACUGUCCAUAUGCAUACAGAUUUCAUUCAUAUAUGCUAUUAUAUAUAAAUCACAAAGCAAUUGACAUCCACUUUAUAUAUGCAUUUGUAUUUGUUGCUUUAUAAUACAUGUCGACUUGCAUAUGAUAUGCAGUCAAAUCCAUUCC